Molecule: non-coding RNA, 95 nt
Organism: Mycena epipterygia
Lineage: Eukaryota; Fungi; Basidiomycota; Agaricomycetes; Agaricales; Mycenaceae
Source: the annotation of a GenBank genome assembly
GACUCGACGGCGGAUGGUCCGCGUCUGUGCUUAGUAUCGAAUUUCUGUAAACACGAGCACCGUAGAAGACGCCUGUUCGAAUCAGGCUCGAGUCA